GCUGAAACACCAGUUUUCAUAUGAUCACUAAUGUUAAGCAACAUGAAGCCUGGUCAGUACCUAGAUGGGUGCCUACUUGGGAAUACCAGGUGCUGUAAG
This is a non-coding RNA of Acanthosepion pharaonis, 99 nucleotides long. Lineage: Eukaryota; Metazoa; Mollusca; Cephalopoda; Sepiida; Sepiidae. The record is from the annotation of a GenBank genome assembly.